RNAcentral lists this ribosomal RNA (360 nucleotides) under Triticum aestivum (bread wheat). RNAcentral describes it as "partial small subunit ribosomal RNA". Lineage: Eukaryota; Viridiplantae; Streptophyta; Magnoliopsida; Poales; Poaceae. The record is from RNAcentral.
AUGGGCUAUAUAUCACAAGAAGCUGCCAUUCGAUUUCCCCAGUUUGCAUCCUGCUGCUGGCCUCUGAAAAAUACUCCCUGGUUAGACCAUGUGGAAACUGCCAGCCCUGAUCCCUCAACUAGCUGGCAGUCGAUUCUUACCAUAACCUGGAUCAACUUUGAGGAGAGCGUGCAAUUGUCAAUACAGAUUUUGUUUCUGUGCAGUCUCUGUUUCUUUUCUCUUUCUUUAGACGAGUACAACUCUGUGGUUUUCCGUUACUUUCACUUCGCAAACUGUCUGUACUCUGUACUCUGCCGGCCCUGUUUUUGUUUAUCUGUACUCUGUCUUUGUUGCUGCCAAAGUAUGUAUGCUUCUUUAUGA